Molecule: ribosomal RNA, 591 nt
Filed under: uncultured bacterium
Lineage: Bacteria
Description: partial 16S ribosomal RNA
Rfam family: Bacterial small subunit ribosomal RNA
Source: RNAcentral
UGGGGAAUAUUGGACAAUGGGCGCAAGCCUGAUCCAGCAAUGCCGCGUGUGUGAAGAAGGCCUUCGGGUUGUAAAGCACUUUUAUCAGGAGCGAAACGCUGUCGGCUAAUACCCGGCGGAACUGACGGUACCUGAGGAAUAAGCACCGGCUAACUUCGUGCCAGCAGCCGCGGUAAUACGAAGGGUGCAAGCGUUAAUCGGAAUUACUGGGCGUAAAGCGUGCGUAGGCGGUUUCUUAAGUCUGCUGUGAAAUCCCCGGGCUCAACCUGGGAAUGGCAGUGGAUACUGGGAGGCUAGAGUGUGUCGGAGGGUGGUGGAAUUCCCCGGUGUAGCGGUGAAAUGCGUAGAGAUCGGGAGGAACAUCAGUGGCGAAGGCGGCCACCUGGGACAACACUGACGCUGAGGCACGAAAAGCGUGGGGAGCAAACAGGAUUAGAUACCCUGGUAGUCCACGCCCUAAACGAUGCGAACUGGAUGUUGGUCUCAACUCGGAGAUCAGUGUCGAAGCUAACGCGUUAAGUUCGCCGCCUGGGGAGUACGGUCGCAAGACUGGAAACUCAAAUGAAUUGACGGGGUCAUAGCUGUUUCCUG